This 433-nucleotide ribosomal RNA is filed under the name uncultured bacterium. RNAcentral describes it as "partial 16S ribosomal RNA". It matches the Rfam family "Bacterial small subunit ribosomal RNA", at positions 29 to 507 of the family's 1533-position model. The record is from RNAcentral.
AACGAACGCUGGCGGCAUGCCUAACACAUGCAAGUCGAACGAGGCCUUCGGGUCUAGUGGCGCACGGGUGCGUAACGCGUGGGAACCUGCCCUUAGGUUCGGCAUAACUCCCCGAAAGGGGUGCUAAUACCGGAUAAUGUCUUCGGACCAAAGAUUUAUCGCCUUUGGUUGGGCCCGCGUUGGAUUAGCUCGUUGGUAGGGUAAAAGCCUACCAAGGCGACGAUCCAUAGCUGGUCUGAGAGGAUGAUCAGCCACACUGGGACUGAGACACGGCCCAGACUCCUACGGGAGGCAGCAGUGGGGAAUAUUGGACAAUGGGCGAAAUCCUGAUCCAGCAAUGCCGCGUGAGUGAUGAAGGCCUUAGGGUUGUAAAGCUCUUUUACCCGGGAUGAUAAUGACAGUACCGGGAGAAUAAGCUCCGGCUAACUCCGUG